AAGGAUCAUUAUCGAGUUUUGACCGGGUUGUAGCUGGCCUUCCGAGGCAUGUGCACGCCCUGCUCAUCCACUCUACACCUGUGCWCUUACUGUGGGCUUCAGAUUGCGAGGCACGCUCUUUACCGGGCUUGCGGAGCAUAUCUGUGCCUGCGUUUAUCACAAACUCUAUAAAGUAACAGAAUGUGUAUUGCGAUGUAACACAUCUAU
Molecule: unclassified non-coding RNA, 207 nt
Filed under: Ganoderma lucidum
Lineage: Eukaryota; Fungi; Basidiomycota; Agaricomycetes; Polyporales; Polyporaceae
Description: ITS1
Source: RNAcentral